GCUCCUUUUAUGUAUGGAAGGAACAAUAAUCCUGCAGAAGCAAAGUAGCAGAAAUAAUCUUUUGUUGUUCCUCAUUUUGUGUUUUGGGAGCAGUGAGAAAGAAGUCACCACCUAAAGAAACCUGGAAAAUCACUUCUCAAUAAAUUGUCCAGCUGCUGAAGUGAUAUUGGAAACUUCAACUUUGCUUGGAAGAGCGUUAGUGCCAAAACUGCUGGAGGGGGGUUAUUUAUUGCUCAGGCAAAGGCGAAGCGUUGGGAUAGUUUCGGGAGCUGUAUUUGAGUGCGGUCACCUGGGUGCACGGCUUGAUGGAGACACAUCUGCUCAGGAGGUGACUCAGCUGCCGUCCAUGAGCAUGAGAACGUGCAGGCCUGAAACAGCCGUUCAGCCUGAGACCGAUACUACUUAGAGCGGUAGCUGCUCCAGCUUCCACAACGUGUGGCAGCAGCUUGCACAACUAGUGGCAUCGCAGCCUUCCCAGAGGAGACCUGGAGUGAACCGAGGGGUUUGGUGGGGUGGGAUGGGAUCGGGGCAUCUUUAGGGGGGUACCUGGGUGAGGGGAGAAGGAACACUUGAUGUUGCAGUUCUGUUGCAGCUAAGGCAAAAAGCUUUCCCUGUGUUGGGGCCAGGUUAGGUACAUUCGCUGUUUCUUGAGAAUAAACACCUCGUUUUGUUUGUACA
Molecule: long non-coding RNA, 678 nt
Filed under: Calidris pygmaea (Spoon-billed sandpiper)
Lineage: Eukaryota; Metazoa; Chordata; Aves; Charadriiformes; Scolopacidae
Description: lncRNA (ENSCPGG00000016999.1)
Source: RNAcentral